AGACACGGCCCAAACUCCUACGGGAGGCAGCAGUAGGGAAUCUUCCACAAUGGGCGAAAGCCUGAUGGAGCAACGCCGCGUGGGUGAAGAAGGUCUUCGGAUCGUAAAACCCUGUUGUUAGAGAAGAAAGUGCGUGAGAGUAACUGUUCACGUUUCGACGGUAUCUAACCAGAAAGCCACGGCUAACUACGUGCCAGCAGCCGCGGUAAUACGUAGGUGGCAAGCGCUAUCCGGAUUUAUUGGGCGUAAAGGGAACGCAGGCGGUCUUUUAAGUCUGAUGUGAAAGCCUUCGGCUUAACCGGAGUAGUGCAUUGGAAACUGGGAGACUUGAGUGCCAGAAAGGAGAGGGGAACUCCAUGUGUAGCCGGUGAAAUGCGUAGAUAUAUGGAAGAACACCAGUGGCGAAAGCGGCUCUCUGGUCUGUAACUGACGCUGAGGUUCGAAAGCGUGGGUAGCAAACAGGAUUAGAUACCCUGGUAGUCCACGCCGUAAACGAUGAAUGCUAAGUGUUGGAGGGUUUCCGCCCUUCAGUGCUGCAGCUAACGCAAUAAGCAUUCCGCCUGGGGAGUACGACCGCAAGGUUGAAACUCAAAGGAAUUGACGGGGGCCCGCACAAGCGGUGGAGCAUGUGGUUUAAUUCGAAGCAACGCGAAGAACCUUACCAGGUCUUGACAUCUUUUGACAAUCCUAGAGAUAGGACUUUCCCUUCGGGGACAAAAUGACAGGUGGUGCAUGGUUGUCGUCAGCUCGUGUCGUGAGAUGUUGGGUUAAGUCCCGCAACGAGCGCAACCCUUAUUGUUAGUUGCCAGCAUUAAGUUGGGCACUCUAGCAAGACUGCCGGUGACAAACCGGAGGAAGGUGGGGAUGACGUCAAAUCAUCAUGCCCCUUAUGAUCUGGGCUACACACGUGCUACAAUGGACGGUACAACGAGUCGCAAGACCGCGAGGUUUAGCAAAUCUCUUAAAGCCGUUCUCAGUUCGGAUUGUAGGCUGCGACUCGCCUACAUGAAG
RNAcentral lists this ribosomal RNA (1011 nucleotides) under uncultured bacterium. Its description in RNAcentral is "bacterial SSU rRNA". It matches the Rfam family "Bacterial small subunit ribosomal RNA", at positions 322 to 1325 of the family's 1533-position model. The record is from RNAcentral.